Molecule: ribosomal RNA, 253 nt
Filed under: uncultured bacterium
Lineage: Bacteria
Description: partial 16S ribosomal RNA
Rfam family: Bacterial small subunit ribosomal RNA
Source: RNAcentral
UACGGAGGGUGCAAGCGUUAUCCGGAUUCACUGGGUUUAAAGGGUGCGUAGGUGGGCUGUUAAGUCAGUGGUGAAAUCUCCGGGCUCAACCCGGAAACUGCCAUUGAUACUAUCAGUCUUGAAUAUCGUGGAGGUAAGCGGAAUAUGUCAUGUAGCGGUGAAAUGCUUAGAUAUGACGCAGAACACCAAUUGCGAAGGCAGCUUGCUACACUGUUAUUGACACUGAGGCACGAAAGCGUGGGGAUCAAACAGG